Molecule: non-coding RNA, 342 nt
Organism: Phascolarctos cinereus (koala)
Lineage: Eukaryota; Metazoa; Chordata; Mammalia; Diprotodontia; Phascolarctidae
Source: RefSeq, a predicted model, not a curated record
CCAGAUGUGAAGUGAUGAGCACCUGCACUGGAAUGGUGGCAGUGUCUGAGGGGAGAAGAGAAAUUUCCAAGAGAUGUUGCAAAGAUGGGCCCAUAGAUGAUGUGGUUAUCAAGUCUGCAGAUGACAGGAAGUUUCAAGACUUAGCUGGCACAUUGAAUGGUUGUCAAGAUCCACAAAUAUCCCAAAAGGAUUUGCACAAGAGGCCAAUUUUUUAAAGGAAACCCUGUGAGCCAUCCUUCUACUGAGCAGCAACUUCCUUUUAUCUUCUGGAUUCAUUUGCAGUGAGAAGGUCAAAAUUCAUGUGAAAGAAGCCAUUCUUUGCCUCAUUUCUUGCCUAGCCUU